GAAGUUAUAGCUCAGUGAUAGAACAUGUGCUUAGUAUGCACAAGGUUCUGGGUUCAAUCCCCAGCACCUCCA
RNAcentral lists this transfer RNA (72 nucleotides) under Camelus bactrianus (Bactrian camel). It matches the Rfam family "tRNA". From Rfam's summary of the family: Transfer RNA (tRNA) molecules are approximately 80 nucleotides in length. Their secondary structure includes four short double-helical elements and three loops (D, anti-codon, and T loops). Further hydrogen bonds mediate the characteristic L-shaped molecular structure. tRNAs have two regions of fundamental functional importance: the anti-codon, which is responsible for specific mRNA codon recognition, and the 3' end, to which the tRNAs corresponding amino acid is attached (by aminoacyl-tRNA synthetases). tRNAs cope with the degeneracy of the genetic code in two manners: having more than one tRNA (with a specific anti-codon) for a particular amino acid; and 'wobble' base-pairing, i.e. permitting non-standard base-pairing at the 3rd anti-codon position. The record is from Rfam by way of RNAcentral. RNAcentral also lists the same sequence under 1 other name. Lineage: Eukaryota; Metazoa; Chordata; Mammalia; Artiodactyla; Camelidae.